AGAUGCGCAGAAGCCAGGGAUCUCUGGGGUGUCUGAGAGCUGCUCCCCGGCCAACGGUGAGAAAGAGCGAAUCACCCUCAUCUCCAUGAAGAACAUCAACACCAACAACAGCAAGGGCUGCUCCACGGCAGAAAAGGUGUUAUAGAUACCUCCGGGACCUCGGGGGAGCCCCCGGCACAGCGCGGACGACCCCCUCGUCGCCGGCGGGGAGGUCGGGGAGGACGACCGCAGCCCGUGUAAAUGAUUUCAUCCACGCGAGUCCGCGUCUGGUUCCCGGAGACCCCGAUCCGGGCAACCCGGCCGGCGGGAGCCGCCCCCCUCCCUCCCCGAGCAGCCCACGGCCGGGCCCCUCCCUCCGCGAGGACGGAUGACACGCCGAGCCCUGCGGAAAGCAGCUCAACUGACCCGUCCCCCGACUCUUCAGGGAACGACCCCCGACCCCCCCAAUCCCUCUGGCCCCGGAACGGCCCCGAUGGGCAGCCGGGCCUGGGGGCCUGCGCAGGUGGGUCUGAGAUGGAAAGAAGCGUUAGGGUAGAUUUUCCAUUCGUAUUUAAAAAUCGAGCUCCUCGAGGGCAGGGAUUGCGUCCAAUAACGGUCAUAUGCUCCCAAGCGCUUAGUACAGCGCUGU
This is an RNA transcript of Ornithorhynchus anatinus (platypus), 628 nucleotides long. RefSeq lists it as uncharacterized. The transcript is spliced from 3 exons. Lineage: Eukaryota; Metazoa; Chordata; Mammalia; Monotremata; Ornithorhynchidae. The record is from RefSeq and is a predicted model, not a curated record.